CUACUCGAAGAGACUUCCUACUCUUGACAUCCAGAGAACUUAGCAGAGAUGCUUUGGUGCCUUCGGGAACUCUGAGACAGGUGCUGCAUGGCUGUCGUCAGCUCGUGUUGUGAAAUGUUGGGUUAAGUCCCGCAACGAGCGCAACCCUUAUCCUUUGUUGCCAGCGAUUCGGUCGGGAACUCAAAGGAGACUGCCAGUGAUAAACUGGAGGAAGGUGGGGAUGACGUCAAGUCAUCAUGGCCCUUACGAGUAGGGCUACACACGUGCUACAAUGGCAUAUACAAAGAGAAGCGACCUCGCGAGAGCAAGCGGACCUCAUAAAGUAUGUCGUAGUCCGGAUUGGAGUCUGCAACUCGACUCCAUGAAGUCGGAAUCGCUAGUAAUCGUAGAUCAGAAUGAUCACGGGAGUACGACCUUA
RNAcentral lists this ribosomal RNA (418 nucleotides) under soil bacterium Pe11. RNAcentral's name for it is "bacterial SSU rRNA". It matches the Rfam family "Bacterial small subunit ribosomal RNA", at positions 957 to 1370 of the family's 1533-position model. The record is from RNAcentral.